UAUAUAAAUUUGCAACGUGCGCGUGCCAAAUGGUGAAAAUUGUGCGUAACAAAAAGCCAGAGAGACUGCUUCGGCCGCAGUGCCCGUAGUGGUGGCAACUUUUUUCGACUUGCUUUAUGUGUGCUUCGUUAUCGUGUACGUAUACGUCGCGCUGACAUACAUGUGUUGGUGUGAAAACGUUGAAACAGUCAGGCUAGCAACGUGCUCGCUGUAAAACCAACAACAGUGUAAGAGAGACAACUCUACUGCAGCAUGCAUACGUGCGUGCGUGUAUAUAUUACACACAUAUGUAGAUAUAUCUGGAAAUUAAAGCAAGCGUCAAGUGCAAGCAGCAGCAGCAGCAGCAGCAGCAGCGGAGCAGCCUGGCCACACUGUGACUCCCGAAUCCGCCAAGCAGCCGCAGCGCCCGCGACUGGCACCGAAAGCCAACCAAACGCCUGAGCGUGCGCAUAGAGAACGCAUGAACCAAAUAGAACGGAUCAGAUAAAAGAGAUAAGAAGUCGAAGAAGAGGCGCAGCAGAAAACGAAUAUAAAGCGGAAACGACAAAAGGACUGCGAAAGGCGACUUCACACAUAUAUAAUAUAUAUAUUUAUAUAUA
Molecule: small RNA, 599 nt
Filed under: Drosophila mojavensis
Lineage: Eukaryota; Metazoa; Arthropoda; Insecta; Diptera; Drosophilidae
Description: GI25958
Source: RNAcentral